Molecule: unclassified non-coding RNA, 284 nt
Filed under: plant metagenome
Description: partial contains small subunit ribosomal RNA, internal transcribed spacer 1, and 5.8S ribosomal RNA
Rfam family: Eukaryotic small subunit ribosomal RNA (bases 1-53)
Source: RNAcentral
GGAAGUAAAAGCGUAACAAGGUUUCCGUAGGUGAACCUGCGGAAGGAUCAUUAUUGUAUAACCGAGGUGCGAGGGCUGUCGCUGACCCGAAAGGUCGUGCACGCCCGAGUGCCCUCACACACAUCCAUCUCACCCCUAUGUGCACCACCGCGUGGGUCCCCCUUUGGCUUGUUCGGAGGGGGGCUUACGUUUUCACACGAACUUUGUAUGCAGUGUAGAAUGUAUUUUUUGUUUUUGCGAUCACGCAAUCAAUGCAACUUUCAACAACGGAUCUCUUGGCUCUC